This 433-nucleotide ribosomal RNA is filed under the name uncultured bacterium. Its description in RNAcentral is "partial 16S ribosomal RNA". It matches the Rfam family "Bacterial small subunit ribosomal RNA", at positions 29 to 507 of the family's 1533-position model. The record is from RNAcentral.
AGCGAACGCUGGCGGCAGGCCUAACACAUGCAAGUCGAACGAACCCUUCGGAGUUAGUGGCGGACGGGUGAGUAACACGUGGGAACGUGCCUUUUGGUUCGGAAUAACUCAGGGAAACUUGUGCUAAUACCGAAUGUGCCCUUCUGGGGAAAGAUUUAUCGCCAUUAGAGCGGCCCGCGUCUGAUUAGCUAGUUGGUGAGGUAACGGCUCACCAAGGCGACGAUCAGUAGCUGGUCUGAGAGGAUGACCAGCCACACUGGGACUGAGACACGGCCCAGACUACUACGGGAGGCAGCAGUGGGGAAUCUUGCGAAAUGGGCGAAAGCCUGACGCAGCCAUGCCGGGUGAAUGAUGAAGGUCUUAGGAUUGUAAAAUUCUUUCACCGGGGACGAUAAUGACGGUACCCGGAGAAGAAGCCCCGGCUAACUUCGUG